RNAcentral lists this ribosomal RNA (253 nucleotides) under uncultured bacterium. Its description in RNAcentral is "partial 16S ribosomal RNA". It matches the Rfam family "Bacterial small subunit ribosomal RNA", at positions 524 to 776 of the family's 1533-position model. The record is from RNAcentral.
UACAGAGGGUGCGAGCGUUAAUCGGAAUUACUGGGCGUAAAGGGCGCGUAGGUGGAGAUUUAAGUCGGAUGUGAAAUCCCUGGGCUUAACCUGGGAAUGGCAUACGAUACUGGAUGUCUAGGGUUGAGUAGAGGGAAGUGGAAUUUCCGGUGUAGCGGUGAAAUGCGUAGAUAUCGGAAGGAACACCAGUGGCGAAGGCGGCUUCCUGGACUCAAACUGACGCUGAGGCGCGAAAGCGUGGGGAUCAAACAGG